RNAcentral lists this long non-coding RNA (296 nucleotides) under Mytilus galloprovincialis (Mediterranean mussel). Lineage: Eukaryota; Metazoa; Mollusca; Bivalvia; Mytilida; Mytilidae. The record is from RNAcentral.
UCGUCGUCGUCGUCGUCGUCGUCCGAAUACUUUUAGUUUUCGCACUCUAACUUUAGUAAAAGUGAAUAGAAAUCUAUGAAAUUUUAACACAAGGUUUAUGACCACAAAAGGAAGGUUGGGAUUGAUUUUGGGAGUUUUUGUCCCAACAUUUUAGGAAUUAGGGACCAAAAAGGGCCCAAAAUAAGCAUUUUCUUGGUUUUCGCACUAUAACUUUAGUUUAAGUAAAUAGAAAUCUAUGAAAUUUUGACACAAGGUUUAUGACCACAAAAGGAAGGUUGGGAUUGAUUUUGGGAGUU